Herpailurus yagouaroundi (jaguarundi) is the source of this 1119-nucleotide long non-coding RNA. RefSeq lists it as uncharacterized. The transcript has 2 exons. The record is from RefSeq and is a predicted model, not a curated record. Lineage: Eukaryota; Metazoa; Chordata; Mammalia; Carnivora; Felidae.
UCUCACACAUAUAUCCGACCCUCUGUUUAAUUUUGUUCUCAUAAUAAAGAAUUCUAAUAUUACAGGAAAGAGCACAUUCAUCUCAGGUAAAGCAGAAGACUGACUCUGGCAAAAUCCAUUGGUUUUCAUGAGAAUGUGAUUUCCACUAAGUGGUCCCCAACACGUUCUGCACCGCCUACAGGAUAAAGCCAAGCUCUUUGCUGUGACCCUUGAGACCCCUUCACCUACCAGCCCCUCCCCGGCUCCUCUCCUGGACAGCCAGAGCCCAAGACAUGUCAAACUUCCAGACCACGCCAGCCCGUCCUCCAUGUUUUUUCUCCUCAGCUCAAAUGCUGUCCAAUCUUCAAAUCUUUCUCAGCAACCCCCAAGCUCCAGGCAGAGUUGGUUGUCAUUGUUUCUGGGUACAGGGUCCCUUGGUACGCACCUGUCAGAACAAGUAUCUCACUGCGUUGCACUCAGUUUAUGUGUCUGUCCAUUUUUCUAGACUGCAAGCUCUUUGGGACCAUGCUCAUUCUUGUGAUUCUCUCACUAUCCCUGGUAUCUGGCACACAGUGGACCCCAACUGUUGAAUUGAUCACUGAGUGAAUGAAUGAAUGAAUGAAUCAAUGAAACAGCAUUUGCAUGCUGAACUUUCAAACUGAACCUAUAGUGUGAUGGGAAAUAUCACACACAUGAAUGGGAAAAAAAUGGCCUCAGGCGUCCAGGUUUCAUCGAACAUCUCAUGCAGUUUGACUUGUACUGAUUACAGCUUCGGAGAACGCAGAGCCAAGGUGAAUGGAUCCUAGAGUUACCCAUGGCGUUGCCACAAGCCCGGAGUCCCUCUACGAUAGCUGCAGGUUACCGGGGAGACGGCCAGAGGUUCAAGUGGAUGGUGCACUCUCCAUGCAAAGGGCGGGACAGCUGACAUAAAACAAGGUGGGCUCUUCUGGGACAGACACCUGGGGUCAAAGGCCACUAGGCCGAGGACUUCUAAUUCUGAGGAAGAAUGUCUGGGGAAGGGAGCAAAAGGGUACUCCAGAAGCAAUGGGAUGCCAGUGCGGUUAUCUCCUCAGAGUCCUAUUCAAAUGUCCGGAGAGCGGUAGCUGCCAUACCUCCCAAAGAGCUUCACUCUUUCCUCUC